CGAGAAUGCCAGGAACAUCAGCAUUGAGAUUCUAACCAAAAUGAACAGGAAUGAUCUGGUGCAUCGACUCCAGGGCUAAGAUCAGGUCCACCAGUGAAAGUGAAGCCAGUGACCUGAAAUGACCUGCAGGUCCUGCUUCACCCAUCCCAUCCGCUACACCAGUCUUCAACAUUUGCCAGAAGAUUAUUGCAGCUUUGCCAGAAAUUAGAAGUUCACUUCAGAUGUCUUUGAUCAUGGGAUUACAUCUUUAACAACAGGGUUUAAACUUUGAUUUUUGCCUGAAUUUGAUU
This is a long non-coding RNA of Scomber japonicus (chub mackerel), 290 nucleotides long. RefSeq lists it as uncharacterized. The record is from RefSeq and is a predicted model, not a curated record. NCBI's taxonomy places the organism in Eukaryota, Metazoa, Chordata, Actinopteri, Scombriformes, Scombridae. The transcript is spliced from 3 exons.